AGGUGUUUGAGAGUGUGCCAGGUGUUUGAGAGUAUGCCAGGUGUUUGAGAGUAUGCCAGGUGUUUGAGUGUAUACCAGGUGUUUGAGAGUAUGCCAAGUGUUUGAGAGUAUACCAGGUGUUUGAGAGUAUGCCAAGUGUUUGAGAGUAUACCAAGUAUUUGAGUGUAUACCAGGUGUUUGAGAGUAUACCAGGUGUUUGAGAGUAUACCAGGUGUUUGAGAGUAUACC
This is a long non-coding RNA of Nematolebias whitei (Rio pearlfish), 228 nucleotides long. RefSeq lists it as uncharacterized. The record is from RefSeq and is a predicted model, not a curated record. NCBI's taxonomy places the organism in Eukaryota, Metazoa, Chordata, Actinopteri, Cyprinodontiformes, Rivulidae. The transcript has 3 exons.